Molecule: long non-coding RNA, 914 nt
Filed under: Phasianus colchicus (ring-necked pheasant)
Lineage: Eukaryota; Metazoa; Chordata; Aves; Galliformes; Phasianidae
Description: lncRNA (ENSPCLG00000001081.1)
Source: RNAcentral
CCCAUACCAAUGUUGCAUGAUGGCAGUUUAGGUCAUUUGAAGCAAUUUCUUUCCCAGAUCUGCAAGAAGAAAUGUCCUGAUGCGCAUUGAUCUUGCUUACUAAUACUUAAAAUCAUAGGAUUAUAGAAUAAUUCAAGUAGAAAAGAGUAUCAAGUUUCACUAUCCAGCUCAAGUAGGGUCUGCUGCAAGAUGAUAACACAUUGCUCAGGGAUCACAUAAGUUCUGAAACCCUCCUUAUUGUGACAAAACUUUCCUUAUGUUCAGCCAAAACCAUUUCUGUUUCAGCCUCUGCCUGUUGCCUCUCAUCCCAGAGAAGAGCCUGGAUUCAUAUUCCUGACAAGAUCCUCAGACUCUAAUGCAUCAUUUAUCAGGCUAUGAGGGAGCUGUUUCUCCAGUCCUAUUUGCAUGGAGGAAAGCAGAGCAAGAAAUUUCCCUCUCCAGAUUGACUCAGGCAACGAAGCUGAUCCAAAGUGAGUGCAAAACAAGAAAUACUUGGAUGGCUUCAGUCUCUUUUAGGACCCACGAAACAAGAGGAUCUUUGAGCUCUACCUGGGAUCUGGAUACAUUGAACACCUGCUUGAGAUCAGACAGUGUCCCACAUGUACUGUUUUGGAUGAAACAAGCGUUCACAAAGGAACAAUACACUUCUGCCAGAAAAUAUGUUUCCAAAGCUCUGACAAACUUUCUGAAGUUAAUGCAACCACUUCCAAGAAAAGCUCAGGACUGCUGCCUCUGCAGCACAGCUUUGGUUGUGCAGAGCAGCAAAACCCAUGUUCUGAGCUCUGAGCAUCAAUUGGCUCAUCCUCCCGCACCUCCGUGCUGCACUUUUCCAUUUGGCAGACUAUGAAUCCCAUUGGUCACAAUGCAGAAUCUCCCUGCCUUGCAACAUGUGUGCAAGCCAGGGUUGUGAACCU